RNAcentral lists this ribosomal RNA (404 nucleotides) under uncultured bacterium. RNAcentral describes it as "bacterial SSU rRNA". It matches the Rfam family "Bacterial small subunit ribosomal RNA", at positions 1090 to 1498 of the family's 1533-position model. The record is from RNAcentral.
CCACGAACGCAACCCUUGCCAUUAGUUGUCUACGGAUAGGGCACUCUAAUGGGACUGCCGGUGACAAACCGGAGGAAGGUGGGGAUGACGUCAAGUCCUCAUGGCCCUUAUGGGUAGGGCUACACACGUCAUACAAUGGCCGGUACAGAGGGCAGCCAACCCGCGAGGGGGAGCCAAUCCCAGAAAACCGGUCGUAGUCCGGAUUGCAGUCUGCAACUCGACUGCAUGAAGUCGGAAUCGCUAGUAAUCGCGGAUCAGCAUGCCGCGGUGAAUACGUUCCCGGGUCUUGUACACACCGCCCGUCACACCAUGGGAGCGGGUUCCGCCAGAAGUAGGUAGCCUAACCGCAAGGAGGGCGCUUACCACGGCGGGGUUCGUGACUGGGGUGAAGUCGUAACAAGGUA